This is a non-coding RNA of Pongo abelii (Sumatran orangutan), 103 nucleotides long. The record is from Rfam. Lineage: Eukaryota; Metazoa; Chordata; Mammalia; Primates; Hominidae.
AUCCUUUUGUAGUUCAUAAACAGGAUGAUAGGGUUUUCACAUUUACUGUGAGAUGUGCUUCCCUCCAACCUUGUUAUAAUGUUGAUGCAUUACCCAUCUAAUG